RNAcentral lists this transfer RNA (85 nucleotides) under Felis catus (domestic cat). It matches the Rfam family "tRNA". From Rfam's summary of the family: Transfer RNA (tRNA) molecules are approximately 80 nucleotides in length. Their secondary structure includes four short double-helical elements and three loops (D, anti-codon, and T loops). Further hydrogen bonds mediate the characteristic L-shaped molecular structure. tRNAs have two regions of fundamental functional importance: the anti-codon, which is responsible for specific mRNA codon recognition, and the 3' end, to which the tRNAs corresponding amino acid is attached (by aminoacyl-tRNA synthetases). tRNAs cope with the degeneracy of the genetic code in two manners: having more than one tRNA (with a specific anti-codon) for a particular amino acid; and 'wobble' base-pairing, i.e. permitting non-standard base-pairing at the 3rd anti-codon position. Lineage: Eukaryota; Metazoa; Chordata; Mammalia; Carnivora; Felidae. The record is from Rfam by way of RNAcentral.
GCCUGGGUGGCUCAGUCGGUUAAGCAUCUGACUUCGGCUCAGAUCAUGAUCUCACGGUCCGUGAGUUCGAGCCCCGCGUCGGGCU